Molecule: ribosomal RNA, 375 nt
Filed under: uncultured Allobrachymonas sp.
Lineage: Bacteria; Pseudomonadati; Pseudomonadota; Betaproteobacteria; Burkholderiales; Comamonadaceae
Description: bacterial SSU rRNA
Rfam family: Bacterial small subunit ribosomal RNA
Source: RNAcentral
AGAGAUAGAGGAGUGCUCGAAAGAGAACCUGCACACAGGUGCUGCAUGGCUGUCGUCAGCUCGUGUCGUGAGAUGUUGGGUUAAGUCCCGCAACGAGCGCAACCCUUGCCAUCAGUUGCUACGAAAGGGCACUCUGAUGGGACUGCCGGUGACAAACCGGAGGAAGUGGGGAUGACGUCAAGUCCUCAUGGCCCUUAUAGGUGGGGCUACACACGUCAUACAAUGGCCGGUACAAAGGGCAGCAAACCCGCGAGGGGGAGCCAAUCCAUCAAAGCCGGUCGUAGUCCGGAUCGCAGUCUGCAACUCGACUGCGUGAAGUCGGAAUCGCUAGUAAUCGUGGAUCAGCAUGUCACGGUGAAUACGUUCCCGGGUCUU